UACGUAGGGGGCUAGCGUUGUCCGGAUUUAUUGGGCGUAAAGAGCGUGUAGGCGGCCAUGUAGGUCCGGUGUGAAAACUCGAGGCUUAACCUCGAGAUGUCAUCGGAAACCAUUUGGCUAGAGUCCGGAAGAGGAGAGUGGAAUUCCUGGUGUAGCGGUGAAAUGCGCAGAUAUCAGGAAGAACACCAAUGGCGAAAGCAGCUCUCUGGGACGGUACUGACGCUGAGGCGCGAAAGCUAGGGGAGCAAACGGG
This 253-nucleotide ribosomal RNA is filed under the name uncultured bacterium. Its description in RNAcentral is "partial 16S ribosomal RNA". It matches the Rfam family "Bacterial small subunit ribosomal RNA", at positions 524 to 776 of the family's 1533-position model. The record is from RNAcentral.